RNAcentral lists this unclassified non-coding RNA (905 nucleotides) under Hevea brasiliensis (rubber tree). Lineage: Eukaryota; Viridiplantae; Streptophyta; Magnoliopsida; Malpighiales; Euphorbiaceae. The record is from RNAcentral.
AAAAAUGCACUUUUGAAUUAUAGCAAAAGUUGAGGCCAAUUUACAAAUUCUGAAACCUGGCCUGAAGAAACACUUAGUGUAAUCCUAACCGUAGAUCAGGAACACCUCUCAAUUACAGUCCUCAGAUCUAGGGUUCCACAUACACGGAACACCGUUCAUAUACUUUCUUUAGUCUCGGCCUCUUUCUUGUGCCAAACUGCCAAUACCCAAACGAGAGGCUGUGGAAGAGCUCCGAAAAGGUGAAAAAUGGUUCAGCGACUCACUUACCGGAAGAGGCACAGCUAUGCCACCAAAUCUAAUCAACACCGCAUUGUUAAGACUCCUGGCGGGAAAUUGGUGUAUCAGACCACAAAGAAGAGAGCAAGUGGGCCUAAGUGUCCCGUCACUGGCAAGAGAAUUCAAGGGAUUCCACACCUAAGACCAGCAGAGUACAAGAGAUCUAGAUUGUCUAGGAAUCGACGUACUGUCAAUCGUGCCUAUGGAGGUGUAUUGUCUGGAGGUGCUGUUAGGGAGAGGAUUAUCCGAGCCUUCUUAGUGGAAGAACGAAAGAUUGUGAAAAAGGUUUUGAAGAUUCAAAAGUCAAAAGAGAAGCAAGCUUCAAGGAGCUAAAAGGAAAAGGAGAGAAUAAUAAAUCGAAGUCAUGUGAGUUGGAAGAUAUGCUACAGAGAAUUUUGGGGCAAUGAAAUGUAGGAUUUGAAUUUGGAGAUUGUCAAUUUUUACUUAUUUGAUACAAUUGAUUGUUUGUGGUUUUUUUUUUUUGUUUACUUUGACAAGAGAUCAUUUCCAACUAGUUUUAUGUGAUCGUUUGUGCUUCUGAUCACUUGGAAUAUCCUGUCUUAAGUUUAGUCUAUUAUAGUUACUGAAAUUUUUUAUGGUUAUCUAAAUAUGCUUUUAUAACAUUAUAG